GUCCUGUCCGAAGCUCCGUCUGGUGGUUCCGUCGAGGUUCGAGUUUUGGUCCGAUAAAGUUUCUGUUCGGAUUUCUUGUACGUCGGCUCGGGUUGGUCAUUCAAUGAGAGGUUCCGUUUCUCUAUUCUUAAUUUCUGCUGCUUUCGUUUCCAUGACAAGUUUUGUUAAUUUGUAAAUGUUUUACUUGAAAUGAAUAUCUUGUUGCAUACUAAUUUGUUUGAGCUAUAUGCAAGCUAUUUAAGCAAUGUUUGUUUUCCCCUACUCUAUACCUUGGUGAUAUGGGAGUCGGAAGUAAUUGAUCAUUAUGAAUUUGGAAUUUUGAAUCUAUUUUAUUCUAUGGGUUUGAAAUUAUCUUUAGCUAAUCUUUUCUGUGAUUUUAAGGGCUGUGUCAGUUUGUUAAUGAAAGUGUUUUUUAGAAGAUCUUCUUUACUACUUUAGGUUUGGUAUAUGAUAGAUUGUGACUUACAUGACAUCUGAAACUCAACCUUGAUAUGAAACGGUUUUGGCAAUUGUCUUUCACUAGACAAAGAAAACUCCAUGUCUAAUCACUAACUAAAUUUCAAAUUUGUUGCCUUAGCAUUCAUGUAUUGAUGGUGUGACUGAAUCAUCCGUAAUGGUAGCUAUGGGACAUUUUUAAUUCACAAGUUUGUAAAAUGUACAUAGGUUCUUAUUAGUUCAUUUUCUUGGAUUUCAUAUCACAACUUAUUAAUUGUGUACACGUUCGCGUGACACGAGUACGAUUUAAAAAUGAAUAUUCGUAGGAAGGGCUUUAGGCGCGACUUAAUCUACCAUCGUGAUUGUGUACACAUUCGCGUGACAUGAUUAUCAUUUCUAAAAUAAAUCGGAGUAUGCGUUCGCAUAACUUCGACUAAACUUUCUUAAUAAUAACAAAACGUUAUUGAUUGUGGACACGUUCGCGUGACAUGAUUUUUAACGCGCCAAACAAAUGGGUACACGUACGCGUGACCCGUUUCAAGAUAAUUUCUUAAUUAAAAGGGGGGAUGCACAUAGGUUCUAAAAUGAGUAAUUGAGCAAUUUUAAUAUGCCAAGUAUGAUCAAAGCGACCGUGCUAGAACCAGGAACUCGGGAAUGCCUAACACCUUCUCCUGGGUUAACAGAAUUUUUUACCCAGAUUUCUGUGUUCGCAGACCGUAAAUAGAGACAACUUCCUCGAUUCGGAAUUUUAAACGGGUGACUUGGGACACCAUAAAUUAUCCCAAGUGGCGACUUUAAUUUUAAUAUAAAUAAUCCCGUUUCGAUUGUCACUUAAAUUGAAAAAACUCCCUUAUACUCUUCCGGGUGUAGUAAAAAGGAGGUGUGACAGCUCUGGUGACUCUGCUGGGGAAAAGAACCCAAAACUUCUGGUUCAAGGUUCAAGAAUUCGAGUUUGUUAAUGUGAUUUUUACUUGGCUUUAUUUAUGGUUGAUGUUACUGUAUUUUGUGAACCUAAUGUGCUAAUUGUCGUUUAUUUACCGCUUUGAUAUUAGUUGAAUUGUAUUAAACUAUCUUCUUACGCCUCCCAAACUAGGACCUUUUUCCAUAUAUAGGAAGACAUAUCACAUUGAAAGAACAAGUGUGAAAUACUUUCGUUCUCAGUAUUACAGGGUGGAUAAGCCAAUGGAACCUCCAUUUCCCAUUGUAUUAGUCUAUAUUUAGUAAGCAAUUUUUCAUGUGCCAUAAGUCUUAAUAUGAAUAUCCAUUUGGGAGCUCCUAAGUUAUUACACACUAACUUCCUCCAUGAAACCUUAGUUGUUACACCUCCUUUUUUCUAACCCGGGAGGGUAUAAGGAAGUUUUUUUCAAUUUAAGUGAUAAUCGAAACGGGAUUAUUUAUUUAAAAUCAGAGUCGCCACUUGGGAUAAUUUAUGGUGUCCCAAGUCACCGGUUCUAAAUCCCGAAUCGAUGAAAGAUUGACUCUGUUUACGAUCUGCGAACACAACAAUCCGCGUAAGGAAUUUUGUUAACCCAGGAGAAGGUGUUAGAGAUUUUCGGGUUCUGUGAUUUUAGCACGGUCGCUUUGAUCUUACUUGGCUUAAUCAAAUUGUCUAAUUACUUAUUUUAGAACCUAUGUGCAUUUGUGUCUUUUAAUUAAGAAAUUAUCUUAAAACAGGUCACGCGUACGUGUACCCAUUUGUUUGGCGCGUCAAAAAUUAUGUCACGCGAACGUGUCCACAAUUAAUAACAUUUUGUUAUUAUUAAGAAAGUUUGGCCAAAGUUGCGCGAACGCAUACUCCGGUUUUAUUUUUAGGAAUCGUAAUCAUGUCACGCGAACAUGUACACAAUCACGGUUAUAGAUUAAGUCGCGCCUAAAGCAAGCCACGAAUAUUCAUGGACUAUUUAUUCUAAAAUUAGUUUAAGAUUAUUGUGAGGUCAUGAAUUAUGGAAUAGUUGUGGAAAAAUAUAGUACUCUAGUAGUAUUAAGAAUUUAAGGUUAUUUAAAUCCCAAUCUUUUGGCAAUUCACUGCCAAAAGAUGUAGUGACUGCAUUAAUUCUUAAAGCCCAAUCUCCAUUAUCUAAUGUCAAUGGCUUACUCAUUAUUAUUUUAAUUAGGCCCCAAAUGCUAUUUUUACCCCCAAUUAGCAAAUAUGCUCGUUUUUCCCGUGCUCUGUCUCAAACAAAAUGAGACAACUCCAUCACCUUCCUACCAGUACAUAUGAUUUUGAAUCCACAAAACUACAACAACAACAACCCAGUAUAAUCUCAUUUGGUGGGGUUUGGGGAGGGUAGUGUGUAGGCAGACCUUACCCCUACCAUAGGGUAGAGAGACUGUUUUCAAAUAGACCCCCGACAUCCUUCCCUCCAAGAACUUCCCACCUUGCUCUUGGGAGACUCGAACUCACAACCUCUCAGUUGGAAGUGGGGUUGCUUACCCCUCUUGUCUAAAUCACAAAAAAAAUAUCUAAAUCAAAACGCUAAACAUUCAAGUUUACUAAUAAUGGAAAUUAAACCAACAACAAAUCCUCAAGAACAAUUAGACACAGAGUAUUAUAAAUAAAUUCAUACCCACCAAAGCCAACAAGGAAUAUACAAUUUAAAGAAAUACGAUUGAAUCAUGGCAAUAAGUAUUACUGAAACUUAAAAAUAGAAGGAACGAACCUUUGUAUCAAAUCUGAAUUUUUGAGUUUUACAGCAGGAAAAUCUCAAAAACAAACAAGAUUCAAACGGGACCUCGAAGAACCCAGGCCUUGGCCGAAUCUGGACCCGACCCAGUUUCACAUUGUUUUCAAUUCUGGACGCAAAUUUGUGGAUUGGAACGUUGCAUUUGUAACUGGGAAUGCACUGGAACUGUGAGAGAAUACGAGUGUGAAUUCGAGGGUGAAGAGAAUGAGAAAUCAAGAAAGUGCUGAAGCUUUUCGUUAGAUUUCAAGUGGCAGCCAUUUUUGUAUUUUUGUAUUUUUGUCUCUUUCUCUGUUUCUUUUUUACUCUUUUCCUUUCGUCUGUUUCCUCUCUUUCUCGUUUUCAGUCUGUGUGUGUGUUCUUGUUGGUUUUUGAGAAAAAGAUGAUGAAGAUAGGGAGGGGGAAACGGCUGUGUGUUUGGUUCUGCGGCGGAUCUGUAUAUCUAUAGGGGUCUAAACGAAGCUGAAGGUCUGGGGGGAAGGGUCUUGUGAUAGAAACGGCGCU
This 3620-nucleotide long non-coding RNA is filed under the name Nicotiana tabacum (common tobacco). Its description in RNAcentral is "long non-coding RNA (NTAB_LNC019442)". Lineage: Eukaryota; Viridiplantae; Streptophyta; Magnoliopsida; Solanales; Solanaceae. The record is from RNAcentral.